Molecule: non-coding RNA, 202 nt
Organism: Pelobates cultripes (western spadefoot toad)
Lineage: Eukaryota; Metazoa; Chordata; Amphibia; Anura; Pelobatidae
Source: the annotation of a GenBank genome assembly
CUCAAGGGAUAUCAACUUUAGCAUCAACUUUUCUAAAUUAUUGUUUUCUUACUUACCAAAGUUACUUCCCUCUGAAGCUUUGCAUGCUUUCUGUUUAUUCUGCUGUGAUCGCUUUGCCACCUGGAUUAUAAAAACCUGGUGCCAGCUAUUUCAUUAAAACAGUGAAUUUAUAGCGUUUUUAUGCAUGUCUUUUGAAUCUGAC